Molecule: ribosomal RNA, 253 nt
Filed under: uncultured bacterium
Lineage: Bacteria
Description: partial 16S ribosomal RNA
Rfam family: Bacterial small subunit ribosomal RNA
Source: RNAcentral
UACGGAGGGAGCUAGCGUUGUUCGGAAUUACUGGGCGUAAAGCGCACGUAGGCGGUUUGUUAAGUCAGGGGUGAAAUCCCGGAGCUCAACUCCGGAACUGCCUUUGAUACUGGCAAGCUAGAGUCCGGAAGAGGUAAGUGGAACUCCUAGUGUAGAGGUGGAAUUCGUAGAUAUUAGGAAGAACACCAGUGGCGAAGGCGGCUUACUGGUCCGGAACUGACGCUGAGGUGCGAAAGCGUGGGGAGCAAACAGG